Molecule: small nucleolar RNA, 103 nt
Organism: Salvia miltiorrhiza (redroot sage)
Lineage: Eukaryota; Viridiplantae; Streptophyta; Magnoliopsida; Lamiales; Lamiaceae
Product: small nucleolar RNA Z279/snoR105/snoR108
Exons: 1
Source: RefSeq, a predicted model, not a curated record
GGGAUGUGAUGAGUGGUAAUUGCUCGCAACUAAAUAUGCGAGAUGGGUGCCCGCUCCGCCUGCUUACGACAUUGAGGCGCUCCCAUUUCACUAAUCUGAUCCU